Long non-coding RNA from Spea bombifrons (plains spadefoot toad), 538 nucleotides. RefSeq lists it as uncharacterized. NCBI's taxonomy places the organism in Eukaryota, Metazoa, Chordata, Amphibia, Anura, Pelobatidae. The transcript is spliced from 4 exons. The record is from RefSeq and is a predicted model, not a curated record.
GUGAGAGCGGAAGCUGAAUGGCUGGCUGCUUGUGAGGAGAAGGCAGAGAUCAAAGUGCGAGGAGCCUGCAGCCAGGAACCUGGGGCCCCUGGCAGAGAAACUCGGCAGGUUUAUUUGGCUGGCACGGACUGCGUAACCUCACCGCAGCCAGAGGAUCUAGAUCCGGGAUAGACUCGCCACGCCGGUGGGACCCAUAAACGAGGUCACUGCCCAUUCGAGGUCGGCGGAAAGCCUACGUUGCUUCGCAUGGAAUCAGAGUCCGCAGGUCCUACAGAACAGUCAAGGUCACGGAGGGCAGUUUGAAAGAGAUAAAAGAGACCCGGCUUUCGUGCAGGUCGCCCUUUUAAAGAAAACCCGAGCCUGCGGAGAAGCCUUCUUGGCAUUUGGACUGCGAUGUAACAGCUGUAAGUGUUUAACUUGUCAAGAACGGUGACUUACAGCGCGGGAGACAAUACUUCAUCACCAAAACGGGACAGAUCGGAAGACGGUUUGAGAGACCUACACGAAACCAUAACUCAAACAGCCCGUCGAUUGGCGC